AUUGAACGCUGGCGGAAUGCUUUACACAUGCAAGUCGAGCGGCAGCGCUGGGGCAAUCCUGGCGGCGAGCGGCGAACGGGUGAGUAAUACAUCGGAACGUACCCAAUCGUGGGGGAUAACACAUCGAAAGAUGUGCUAAUACCGCAUAAGUCCUGAGGGAGAAAGCGGGGGAUCGCAAGACCUCGCGCGGAUUGGAGCGGCCGAUGGCGGAUUAGCUAGUUGGUGGGGUAAAGGCCUGACCAAGGCGACGAUCCGUAGCUGGUCUGAGAGGACGAGCCAGCCACACUGGAACUGAGACACGGUCCAGACUCCUACGGGAGGCAGCAGUGGGGAAUUUUGGACAAUGGGCGCAAGCCUGAUCCAGCCAUUCCGCGUGAGUGAAGAAGGCCUUCGGGUUGUAAAGCUCUUUCGGACAGGGAAGAAACGGUUAUGGGCUAAUACCCCGAGCUAAAUGACGGUACCAUGAAGAAGAAGCACCGGCUAACUACGUGCCAGCAGCCGCGGUAAUACGUAGGGUGCGAGCGUUAAUCGGAAUUACUGGGCGUAAAGCGUGCGCAGGCGGUUUAUGUAAGACAGAUGUGAAAUCCCCGGGCUUAACCUGGGAACUGCGUUUGUGAGCUGCAAGACUCGAGUACGGCAGAGGGGGGUGGAAUUCCACGUGUAGCAGUGAAAUGCGUAGAGAUGUGGAGGAACACCGAUGGCGAAGGCAGCCCCCUGGGCUCGAUACUGACGCUCAUGCACGAAAGCGUGGGGAGCAAACAGGAUUAGAUACCCUGGUAGUCCACGCCCUAAACGAUGCCAACUAGGUCGUUGGG
RNAcentral lists this ribosomal RNA (815 nucleotides) under uncultured Georgfuchsia sp. Its description in RNAcentral is "bacterial SSU rRNA". It matches the Rfam family "Bacterial small subunit ribosomal RNA", at positions 28 to 828 of the family's 1533-position model. Lineage: Bacteria; Pseudomonadati; Pseudomonadota; Betaproteobacteria; Nitrosomonadales; Sterolibacteriaceae. The record is from RNAcentral.